This 23-nucleotide small nuclear RNA is filed under the name Arabidopsis thaliana (thale cress). Its description in RNAcentral is "snRNA_17475". The record is from RNAcentral. Lineage: Eukaryota; Viridiplantae; Streptophyta; Magnoliopsida; Brassicales; Brassicaceae.
UUGACCGCGCCAUUUUAGUCUUG